Molecule: transfer RNA, 60 nt
Filed under: Erinaceus europaeus (western European hedgehog)
Lineage: Eukaryota; Metazoa; Chordata; Mammalia; Eulipotyphla; Erinaceidae
Rfam family: tRNA
About the family: Transfer RNA (tRNA) molecules are approximately 80 nucleotides in length. Their secondary structure includes four short double-helical elements and three loops (D, anti-codon, and T loops).
Source: Rfam by way of RNAcentral
GUGGCACAGUGGCUAGUGCACUGAUCUCUCAAGCCUGAGGUUCUGGGUUCAAUCCCCGGC